AAGCUGAUUCACCCUGGUGAAGAGAAAACAACAGUGUUGUGUGAGAGCUGCAAUUAGCAAAGAAAUGGAUUCCUAAUAACAUACCAGGCUGCUCCUGAAGACCUGCUGCUGUUCCAGGCACCUGCUCCUGGGUGAUGGACAGCGUGUGGCAGGAGCUGCUGUGUCACCAGGCAGGAGCUG
Molecule: non-coding RNA, 180 nt
Organism: Taeniopygia guttata (zebra finch)
Lineage: Eukaryota; Metazoa; Chordata; Aves; Passeriformes; Estrildidae
Source: RefSeq, a predicted model, not a curated record